Molecule: unclassified non-coding RNA, 329 nt
Filed under: soil metagenome
Description: partial contains 5.8S ribosomal RNA, internal transcribed spacer 2, and large subunit ribosomal RNA
Rfam family: 5.8S ribosomal RNA (bases 1-120)
Source: RNAcentral
GAUGAAGAACGCAGCGAAAUGCGAUAAGUAGUGUGAAUUGCAGAAUUCAGUGAAUCAUCGAAUCUUUGAACGCACAUUGCGCCCCUUGGUAUUCCAUGGGGCAUGCCUGUUCGAGCGUCAUUAUAACCACUCAAGCUCUCGCUUGGUAUUGGAGUUCGCGAUCUCGCGGCUCCUAAAAUCAGUGGCGGUGCCUGUCGGCUCUACGCGUAGUAAUACUCCUCGCGAUUGAGUCCGGUAGGUUUACUUGCCAGCAACCCCCAAUUUUUACAGGUUGACCUCGGAUCAGGUAGGGAUACCCGCUGAACUUAAGCAUAUCAAUAAGCGGAGGA